This 389-nucleotide ribosomal RNA is filed under the name Prorocentrum sp. RNAcentral describes it as "partial small subunit ribosomal RNA". It matches the Rfam family "Eukaryotic small subunit ribosomal RNA", at positions 582 to 975 of the family's 1831-position model. The record is from RNAcentral. Lineage: Eukaryota; Dinophyceae; Prorocentrales; Prorocentraceae.
AUUCCAGCUCCAAUAGCGUAUAUUAAAGUUGUUGCGGUUAAAAAGCUCGUAGUUGGAUUUCUGCCGAGGACGACCGGUCCGCCCUGUGGGUGAGCAUCUGGAUCGGCCUGGGCAUCUUCUUGGGGAACGUAGCUGCACUUGACUGUGUGGUGCGGUAUCCAGGACUUUUACCUUGAGGAAAUUAGAGUGUUUCAAGCAGGCGCACGCCUUGAAUACAUUAGCAUGGAAUAAUAAGAUAGGACCUCGGUUCUAUUUUGUUGGUUUCUAGAGCUGAGGUAAUGAUUAAUAGGGACAGUCGGGGGCAUUUGUAUUCAAACGACAGAGGUGAAAUUCUUGGACCGUUUGAAGACAAACUACUGCGAAAGCAUUUGCCAAGAAUGUUUUCAUCA